Molecule: long non-coding RNA, 1277 nt
Filed under: Elaeis guineensis (African oil palm)
Lineage: Eukaryota; Viridiplantae; Streptophyta; Magnoliopsida; Arecales; Arecaceae
Description: long non-coding RNA (EGUI_LNC040526)
Source: RNAcentral
UCCUGUGAGCUAGGGUUUUGAGCCCCAUAUGCCUCCCCCACCCCCUUCUUUUUCUUCUCUCUCUUUGUGCUUUUUGUUGCUUGUUUGUGCUAAAGGCAGCCAUGUUUAUUUAUUUAUGUAUUUUGGGUUUCUCUUUGCUUUUAUACAUUUCUUAUAUGUUGUGCAUUACCAUAUUGUUAUUGCAGCCAGACAGAAGAAGGCUGUGAAGAUUUUCCCACGUCCUACUGCCGGACCCCUUCGCCCAAUUGUUCAAUGCCAGACCCUCAAGUACAAUAUGAAAUCUAGGGCAGGCAGGGGUUUUACCCUGGAAGAGCUUAAGGUAAUUAUCAAGUAUAGUACUUUUUGUUUGUGUUCAUUAGUUGUUUGGAAGUUCUUGAGAUAGUUCUUGAUCAAGACGAAUGCUGCAAAGAACACUUAUCAUCCUGAUUUUCUACUUUGGUAGUUGAGGGAUGGGGGUUCUGUUUUGCAGUCAUAAGUUUAGACUAGAAUUCAAACAUUUCAAUUGAUAUGCUUCAUACUUUGUGAAGUAUAAUUUUGACUUUUGACUCACAGUGGCUUGAGGAAUGGUAGAAGAAUGAUUUGAGAGAAAAACAAGCAACUUGUUGUGUAGAAAUCUUUUUCAAAUAGAAGCUAACAUUUCUUUUAGGAAGAAAUGCAGAAAAAGCACCCAUUCUUAGAUAAAUCAAAUAAAGCACUUGUUCCAAUCAUGGAGCAAAUACAGCCAUCUUCUUCUACGAGAAUUGGUGGAACCCAAACUUGUUUCAAUCAUUGCUCAAUUUUCUAUAGGGGAUGCAUAUACCUUAUGUUACUGUCAAGGAGCUAGUUGACCACGACCAGAAGAUUCUGUCUCAAGAAUAUCUGAUAAGAGCUUAAAAAUUCAGGAUUAGUAGGGAAAAGUGAAUCCCUUCAUCCAUGCCAUUGUAGCUUUUACACUAUCGAUCUCUAGAGUCAUUACUCUGGUGAUUUGAUAGUCCUGAGAACUACACGUAUUUAUCUUUGAUAAAUGGACUAAAGAAAUAAGCAAGUGUAAAAUAUGGAUCCUUAUUGUAUUAGCUCCAACUGGCAUAUAGUUUUAUGCCUAUAUGAAGAUAAAUCAUUAGUUCUUUGACGAUUUAUAGAUGAAUUGGACUGUGCAGGCAGCAGGCAUUCCAAAAAAGCUUGCGCCUACCAUUGGAAUUGCAGUUGAUCACCGCCGAAAGAACCGUUCCCUGGAGGGUCUCCAAGCGAAUGUCCAAAGGCUUAAAACAUACAAGGCAAAAUUAGUUAUCUUCCCAAGA